AUUGAACGCUGGCGGUAUGCUUAACACAUGCAAGUCGAACGCUGAUAAGGUGCUUGCACCUUUGAUGAGUGGCGGACGGGUGAGUAAUGCAUAGGAAUCUGCCUAUUAGUGGGGGACAACGUGGGGAAACUCACGCUAAUACCGCAUACGAUCUACGGAUGAAAGCUGGGGGACCUUCGGGCCUGGCGCCAAUAGAUGAGCCUAUGUCGGAUUAGCUAGUUGGUGGGGUAAAGGCCUACCAAGGCGACGAUCCGUAGCUGGUCUGAGAGGAUGAUCAGCCACACUGGGACUGAGACACGGCCCAGACUCCUACGGGAGGCAGCAGUGGGGAAUAUUGGACAAUGGGCGCAAGCCUGAUCCAGCAAUGCCGCGUGUGUGAAGAAGGCCUGCGGGUUGUAAAGCACUUUCAGUGGGGAAGAACAGAUUCGGGUCAAUACCCGGAGCCCUGACGUUACCCACAGAAGAAGCACCGGCUAACUCCGUG
RNAcentral lists this ribosomal RNA (484 nucleotides) under uncultured bacterium. RNAcentral describes it as "bacterial SSU rRNA". It matches the Rfam family "Bacterial small subunit ribosomal RNA", at positions 30 to 507 of the family's 1533-position model. The record is from RNAcentral.